GAUGAACGCUGACAGAAUGCUUAACACAUGCAAGUCUUUGGCGAAGCUGUGCUUGCACAGCCUAGCUAAGGCGGACGGGUGAGUAACGCGUAAGGAACUUGCCCUGCAGUCAGGGAUAACAGACGGAAACGACUGAUAAGACCUGGUAAAGUCAGGCGGACUCAUGUCCAGCCUGAUGAAAAGAGAUGCUGCAGGAGAGCCUUGCGUCCUAUUAGCUUGUUGGUGGGGUAACGGCCCACCAAGGCGAUGAUAGGUAGCCGGCCUGAGAGGGUGGACGGCCACAAGGGGACUGAGAUACGGCCCUUACUCCUACGGGAGGCAGCAGUGGGGAAUAUUGGACAAUGGGGGCAACCCUGAUCCAGCAAUUCUGUGUGCACGAUGAAGGUUUUCGGAUUGUAAAGUGCUUUCAGCAGGGAAGAAAAAAAUGACGGUACCUGCAGAAGAAGCGACGGCUAAAUACGUG
Molecule: ribosomal RNA, 463 nt
Filed under: uncultured bacterium
Lineage: Bacteria
Description: partial 16S ribosomal RNA
Rfam family: Bacterial small subunit ribosomal RNA
Source: RNAcentral